CACGCAGGGCGGGGGUGCCGCAGGGCCACGCAGGGUGGCUCACCUCGGACAGCCUGGCAGGAGGACCUAGGAUCCCUUCUAGGAGCCCCACGAGGUACCUUGGGGCAGCAGCAGGGGUGGCCCGUUGGGUCCUCCCCAGAACUGACCGCUUCCCAGCAAGGACCCCCGGCUGCCCCCAGCCCCCUCUCCAGGCCUCUGAGGGUGGGGUGGCAGCCUGGCGCCAGGAGCUCCCGGCGGCAGGCCUUUCUUUCCCCUCCUCCAGGGCUGGGAAUAAUUAGGUGACCGGGGACAUAAAUCACGGCUGGCCCGGUACAUCUGCUGAUCACAUCUGCGGGCGCGUGUGAGCGUGAGCAGGAGCCUGGAGUGGGGUGCCCUGCAGGGGGACUGCACGCACCCCACCCGCCGCGCUUCCAGAGAACAGGACGGUGGUGUGUGAUCCCAGGUCCCCGGCCACCCCUGCCCCCAGACACACGGGCGCAUCGCCCAAGACCCACACACAGGUGGACGCCCAGAUGGGCACACAGGCCCGUCCCUCACCCAGCCCCUGGGGAGGCAGGGAACCUGCAGGCUGGGGUUUGGUGCCACCUAGAGCCCACGUCCUGGAACUGCCCGCAUGGACCAGGAGGCCCUGCUGCCCGGCCCUGUCUCCCUCGGCCAGGCCACUUUGACCUGGUGAAGGCCCCUGGUCUGCAGGACUCUGGCUCACACUGGAGAAGGCACAAGGUCAACCGGCAGCAAGGUCAAGGUUCAGGGUGUAAUGUGACGCUUUCAAAUCAGGGUCAGCGCGUCCCCACACCAAUAAGCCCAACCCGAGGGGCGACUGCGCCAGGAAGCUCCUUCUCACCUCGCUGCAGGGGGAGAUCACACAAGGAGGCCGACAACGGAAAGGGCAGCAGUGGGUGUGCUGCGCAGACCUCACCACCCACGGUCAGCAAAGCGUGCCGGCCCUGGACGGUCAGCGCUGGCCUGGCUGCACCUUGAACCUGAGGCUCUUCUCGAGGCCCGGCCCCUCCGCAGCACACUCGGCUGUCCCCUCCGGCUCCGGGCAGUGCGCUGGGUCUUGGAAGCUCUGUGCUGCCCGGGCUGGACGCCACCCUCCUUACGACCUCCUUGCAGCAGACACGGCCAGCAUGACCCUGCUUCUCACCUCCUCCCCAGCUAGAGACGCCCGCCACCUGACUGAGGAAGCAGCCCUGCCCAGCCGCCCCCACGCUGGUCUGUGUGCCAGCAGCGGACAGUCCCUGGCCCCAGAACAUCUCUCGUUAAACCAAACACAGAACACAUUGCCGGACACGGUGGUACCCGACUGUGGGCCCAGCUACCUGGGAGGCUGGGGCAGGAGGAUGGCAGGGUGGAGGCCAGCCUGGGCAACUUAGUGAAACCCGGUCACAAGACUAAAAAUGAAAGGGCUGGGACGUGGCUCAGCGGCAGAGCACCCCCAGGCUCCGUCCCUGGUACCAGAAAAGAAAUUAAAUGCCAGGAGACACGAUUCUAAAACCA
Ictidomys tridecemlineatus (thirteen-lined ground squirrel) is the source of this 1500-nucleotide non-coding RNA. Lineage: Eukaryota; Metazoa; Chordata; Mammalia; Rodentia; Sciuridae. The record is from RefSeq and is a predicted model, not a curated record.